GUCAAGUGGUUACGUUCAUCUGA
Molecule: non-coding RNA, 23 nt
Filed under: Arabidopsis thaliana (thale cress)
Lineage: Eukaryota; Viridiplantae; Streptophyta; Magnoliopsida; Brassicales; Brassicaceae
Source: RNAcentral